RNAcentral lists this ribosomal RNA (459 nucleotides) under uncultured bacterium. RNAcentral describes it as "partial 16S ribosomal RNA". It matches the Rfam family "Bacterial small subunit ribosomal RNA", at positions 338 to 795 of the family's 1533-position model. The record is from RNAcentral.
CCUACGGGGGGCAGCAGUGAGGAAUAUUGGUCAAUGGACGAGAGUCUGAACCAGCCAAGUAGCGUGAAGGAUGACUGCCCUAUGGGUUGUAAACUUCUUUUAUAUGGGAAUAAAACGUUCCACGUGUGGGAUUUUGUAUGUACCAUAUGAAUAAGGAUCGGCUAACUCCGUGCCAGCAGCCGCGGUAAUACGGAGGAUCCGAGCGUUAUCCGGAUUUAUUGGGUUUAAAGGGAGCGUAGGUGGAUUGUUAAGUCAGUUGUGAAAGUUUGCGGCUCAACCGUAAAAUUGCAGUUGAAACUGGCAGUCUUGAGUACAGUAGAGGUGGGCGGAAUUCGUGGUGUAGCGGUGAAAUGCUUAGAUAUCACGAAGAACUCCGAUUGCGAAGGCAGUUCACUGGACUGCAACUGACACUGAGGCUCGAAAGUGUGGGUAUCAAACAGGAUUAGAUACCCGUGUAUC